RNAcentral lists this ribosomal RNA (406 nucleotides) under uncultured bacterium. RNAcentral's name for it is "partial 16S ribosomal RNA". It matches the Rfam family "Bacterial small subunit ribosomal RNA", at positions 30 to 526 of the family's 1533-position model. The record is from RNAcentral.
AUUGAACGCUGGCGGCAGGCCUAACACAUGCAAGUCGAACGAGUGGCGGACGGGUGAGAAAUGUCUGGGAAACUGCCUGAUGGAGGGGGAUAACUACAGGAAACGGUAGCUAAUACAGCAUACCAUCGGAUGUGCCCAGAUGGGAAUAGCUAGUAGGUGGGGUAAAGGCUAACCUAGGCGACGGUCCCUAGCUGGUCUGAGAGGCUGACCAGCCACACUGGAAAUGAGACACGGUCCAGACUCCUACGGGAGGCAGCAGUGGGGAAUAUUGCACAAUGGGCGCAAGCCUGAUGCAGCCAUGCCGCGUGUAUGAAGAAGGCCUUCGGGUUGUAAAGUACUUUCAGCGGGGAGGCGUUACCCGCAGAAGAAGCACCGGCUAACUCCGUGCCAGCCGCCGCGGUAAUUC